Molecule: long non-coding RNA, 1495 nt
Organism: Gadus chalcogrammus (walleye pollock)
Lineage: Eukaryota; Metazoa; Chordata; Actinopteri; Gadiformes; Gadidae
Exons: 3
Source: RefSeq, a predicted model, not a curated record
AAACAGUAGUGCAAAUAGGCCGUACUGAUGUGUACACCAAAGACUAUUCCUGACACUCCUCUGCCCCGCUGUGUUCGCUCUGGCUGUGGUCGCUCCGAACUGUUUCGGCCCGUGGCAAAGCGAGUCAUCCUCGCUGCUGUCCAAGGCAUUUUGAGACGCAGCAUUUAUUUAAUGCUCAUAUGACCUAGUGCUGAAAAAAGGUUAUAUGAAAAAGUGUGAGGGUAGCGGUGGUGCGCUAAACUUGUUCUGUGAGCAGCUGGAUGUGAACGAUCGAUUUUCAACUGUGCGCGCAUGCACUGGUGUAAUUGAGCUGCGCUGCUAUACAUCUUUUUUUAUCAAUGUAACGAGUUGCGAGUCUAGUGCAGGCUGAGUUUUUUUUUUCCCAGCACCCCCUGCUGAGAAUACGUUCUCGCUGCUAUGGUUGCACCAGAUGUUAUAAACAUUAAACGGUCACAUAAAUCAUUACUAUUUUUAGAAAAUGUAUGUUUGUUUCAUAUAAUUGUAUUUGAAGUCCUGGUUUUCACUAGGGUUGCCGCGGUGUGGACAUUUUCACACCGAGUAAUACACUCGUCUCCACACCGGUAUUACCGAGUAUAAACGGUAUAAACUUUGAAACUAGGUCAACCGCCACACAAGCAUCGGUUUUUAGACCCUUCUCGUCCUUCAGUUGCCGCCAACGUUCGAAAGCAGCGCCUAGGAUUAUUCUUGAUUUCAGUUUUUCUCUUUCAGCGUUUUUAUUAUCAAUUACUCUCUGAAAAAGAGUUUUCCUUCUCUUUGCUGGUGGUGGUGGUGGUGGGGAUGGUGGCGUCUUGUCUGCCAUGGAAAUUGUCUUCUACUGCUAGGUCCAAAUGUGGAUUAACUAGUUCCAGUAGCUACCGCAGGAUAACAACAAACAGGAGCUUGCUCUGGGUCACGAGCUCUGGGUCACGAGUACUGCACGAAGGGGUCGCGCGCGGGGCGCGGGGGAGGGGGAGUGCAGUACGACCGUUUGAUUGACGUACUUACUGUCCAAUGAAACUCGGUGGCAAUGGAUAUGAUUGGCUGGAGUUUUUCGAGCCCUGCCCGUUCCACAGAUGAUUGACAAGUUUAAUUUUCAUGUCAGUACUUCUAACUCAGUGGCUGUAAGCGGGUUAUGAUAAGGAUUUCAAGUAAUUUUGCAAAAAUGGCCAAAAAAGCAAAUCACCUAUGCAACCUUUAAGCAACGACGGUUGAAGGGACGGCUACGGCGUUCGAGUGACACUUUGCGCACGCGAAUUCUAUGUUUACAUUUCCUGCCGUUGUAGCCCAACUGUCUACUACGGGAGAGCGACUGGUUUGCCGUAUUCAAUACUACGUUACAUUUCAAGCAGAUAUGUCCUCCGUUGCCCAAGAAGAUGCUAGAACACAUGAACCUGGACUGGAGCAUACUCACCAAAUAAAAAAAUUACAUUAAUUAAAUAAUAAUAUAAGCAAAUAAUUUUUAGAUGACUGGUGAAUAAAUAAAACAGAAUAUAAU